RNAcentral lists this ribosomal RNA (723 nucleotides) under uncultured bacterium. RNAcentral describes it as "bacterial SSU rRNA". It matches the Rfam family "Bacterial small subunit ribosomal RNA", at positions 56 to 790 of the family's 1533-position model. The record is from RNAcentral.
UGCAAGUCGAACGGAGCCAAGAGGAGCUUGCUUUUCUUGACUUAGUGGCGAACGGGUGAGUAACGCGUGAGUAACCUGCCCUGGAGUGGGGGACAACAGUUGGAAACGACUGCUAAUACCGCAUAAGCCCACGAUCCGGCAUCGGAUUGAGGGAAAAGGAUUUAUUCGCUUCAGGAUGGACUCGCGUCCAAUUAGCUAGUUGGUGAGGUAACGGCCCACCAAGGCGACGAUUGGUAGCCGGACUGAGAGGUUGAACGGCCACAUUGGGACUGAGACACGGCCCAGACUCCUACGGGAGGCAGCAGUGGGGGAUAUUGCACAAUGGGGGAAACCCUGAUGCAGCGACGCCGCGUGGAGGAAGAAGGUUUUCGGAUUGUAAACUCCUGUCGUUAGGGACGAUAAUGACGGUACCUAACAAGAAAGCACCGGCUAACUACGUGCCAGCAGCCGCGGUAAAACGUAGGGUGCAAGCGUUGUCCGGAAUUACUGGGUGUAAAGGGAGCGCAGGCGGACCGGCAAGUUGGAAGUGAAAACUAUGGGCUCAACCCAUAAAUUGCUUUCAAAACUGCUGGCCUUGAGUAGUGCAGAGGUAGGUGGAAUUCCCGGUGUAGCGGUGGAAUGCGUAGAUAUCGGGAGGAACACCAGUGGCGAAGGCGACCUACUGGGCACCAACUGACGCUGAGGCUCGAAAGCAUGGGUAACAAACAGGAUUAGAUACCCUGG